Molecule: non-coding RNA, 3009 nt
Organism: Myodes glareolus (Bank vole)
Lineage: Eukaryota; Metazoa; Chordata; Mammalia; Rodentia; Cricetidae
Source: RefSeq, a predicted model, not a curated record
ACAUGCUGUCAGAGCGGUCAUAGAGAAUCCAACGAACCAGCAACUCCACAGCUGAGACCGUCCAAGAGCCAGAGAACUAGCUCUUGCCUGCGGAUCAAGACUUACUGAUCCAGAGGCCUACGUCGAGAGCCACGGACCAUUAUCAGGUCGUAUAUACAAAUGCUUCAGUAAGAUAGAAUAGAAGACCUUGCCUAGGACACAUAGGAACCUUUUGCUGAAUGUGUGAUGUGAUUGAAGGUGUGAUGUGAUUGAUUGACUAGGAUUGUUAUAGGUUUGAUGUUUACUUAUAUUUGAUAUAAGACUUAUAUUUGAUAUAAGAAUAAUUAGGGAUUUAAAUGAUUGUUAUAGUUUGAUGUUUGCCCAUACCUGCUAACAAUUGGAGAUUUGACUAUUGGCAUAAUAAACUUGUUCCUAGAACAAACACUGUGGUCAUCCUGAGUAUUUACUUGCAGACCUCUAAGUAAGGGCAGAAUGCCCGCUCAGGAAUAAGGCUCGCGACAGAGCUCCUACAUUGGGAGAGAAGGGUAAGGCCUGCCAGAGCCACAUGCUUGAGUGGACUAGUGUCCCUUCAGGUAACACCAUCCUGUCCCAACUUUAUUUUAUGACUGCCUGGUUACUUCUUAGACUUCCACCACCACCAUCACCACCACCACCAACAACAACAGUGACCUCUACCUUGCCAAUGCUUUGGGGACUCUCCAUGACCCUAACCAUGGGCCAAACAUAUUAUCUAGUAUCUGGAAAAUGCCACUGAGCCUUGCAAAGAAAGCAGACAUUACUAGACAACUCUAAAUCCCUCACCUGUGCCAGCAUUGAUACUGGUCCCAUCUGCUCCCAGGUCUCACAGCCUCACAAGCCAAGCUUCGACCGGCUCUUUCAUUGCUUGUUUAAAAGUUACCCCGAUUCCAGAAGCCCGGGCAUUGAACAUUCCCCGAUAACACUGGUUUUUUAUGCACGACCCUUAUUGAAGCCCACAUCUGCAUGCUGGAUGGACACUUGGCUUGCUGUAUGCCUGUUCCAUUUCCUCUCUCUGAAGAACAAGAGCUGCCUCUGGGUGGAAAAGUCAGAGGAAUAGGGCCGUGUGUCUCCUUGAUCAUUAAUGGUAGCUAUCAUCAUGAUAAUCGUUAUCCCCAGCCACCCCAAGCGCUGUUCCAGCCCUCUAACUCCAUCUAACAGCCUGGAGCGGUUCUCCCAUUCCUUAGGCCGAGCAUCCUGCUGCAAUGAACCCUUCAGCUUCCACUGGAGGCAAGGCUAUGCCUCUCAGGCCAUCUACAACGAGGAGUGCCUCUACUUUCCUCCUCAUUGGCACUGGCACCUGCGAUGCCAGGCAGCACUGUGGAUGUGGAGAUGAUCCAUCUACCCAAGGGCAACAAUCAAGUGAGCCAAAUAAGUAAAUAAAUAAAAUAAGAGACACCACAAUCGCCCCACCCAGGCAGCCUUUGGAAAUCUCAAUUUCUCAGUAAGGAUGGUUUGUCCCUAGCCACACCCACAUGUUUGAGACAAAACUAACCAAGCCCCAAUUCCCACCCCAGCAGCAUCCACUCCCUACCACAAGGAGCAUGGCCUUGGGGACCAAGUCAACCAAGGCCAACAGCAAGGCACUUUCAGCCCCUUCCUCUCCCAGAACCCCAAAGGAAGUCUCCCAGCCCUCUCCACACCGUGAAAGCAUCUUGAGAUGGUACUGGAGAAAGGCACUGUCCAGGUGCCCCACAGCCAGGCUUUCCUGGGGAAACCAGAACCCAGAUGACAUGGGGCUCCCGCUCCCUGUCAGCUGAACAAAGCCCAUACAUCUGACUCUGGCCUGUCCAUGUUGCUCUUGGGCUCUGCAGUGCGGCACACACUCAGGUACCAAACAAGCAUCCCAUUAUUAAGUGCCAGCCAAUUGGCUGUUUUCAUAACAACGUGGCCUCCAUGGCAACCAAUAUGCCUCAGAGAAGCAGAGAAGAAGAUUGUAUUGCUAUCCCACGGGAGAUCACCAGCCAGCAGCACCACACAUGUGUAUGAUAUCCAGCAUCAUCCCACACCUCUGAAUUCUUUAUUGAUUUAAAAAAAAAAGAGGAAACUAGGCAUUUAGUUUAAAACACCUAAAUCAUAAAGGCCCAGUUUAUGGAGCUGGGGAAAUGGAUGAAUGCUUAAGAGAACUUGCCGCUUUUGUAGAGUCACCCAGAUUCCAUUCCCAAGCUCAUAACUAUCCAUAACUCCAGUUCCAAUAAACCCAACACUCUCUUCUGGCCCCCUACCGGCCCUGACUCCACCCAGGGGAAUGAGGUCUCCAAUGACAAAUUGUCAAGCAGGAGGACUAGGGAGGGGGACGGAAGGCAAAAGUGAUAACUGGGGUGGGGUCAGGAGAUCUCGCAUAAGCUGGUGACAUGCCAAGCAAGUUUAUUGAAAAGUACAACAUUUUUGCAGGGAGAAAAUGGACCAAGAUCACCUCAGAGCUAAAUCUCACAAUGUUGGCAAAGAGAACACAGGACACUUUAGACACAGUUGCCAUCAGGCCAAUAACCACAGGCCUGCAGGGGAGAAAGCUGGGGUUCCAGGAACAGAGGCCCCAACUCCUUUAGAGGCCCAGGCUCCAACCUCAGACUGGACCUUGCCAAGCCUGUUUCUGGACACGGACACAGAAUGAACGUUCCCUUUGGCCUUUCAGUGGGGCUCCCAACACUCCCCAACAACCACAUCUGCCUUGGCAGCACAUUUGGGAUUUUUCAUGACCUUGACUACGUUUCAAAUGUAUUUUUAAAAAAUUAGUGUUUUUACAAACUAAAAUGACUGAUAAAGGUAUAAAUCAAAAUAAGUUCUUACGCCGUGGCUGGAAUAACUACCAUGUUCUGCCAACACAAAUAUGGCUAGGCUGUUCUGACCCACCUCUAACACUGAUGUCACUGUGAUUUUUUUUUUAUCCUUAAAAACAUCGUACCCCCUGAACUUCAGUACAACAGUAUUCCUGAGGCGCUAUGCCACUCUUGGUCACCAGAUAAAAUAAAGGACUCUUUCUUAUCUUCUUAA